Molecule: long non-coding RNA, 855 nt
Organism: Phyllopteryx taeniolatus (common seadragon)
Lineage: Eukaryota; Metazoa; Chordata; Actinopteri; Syngnathiformes; Syngnathidae
Exons: 3
Source: RefSeq, a predicted model, not a curated record
GAGGAAUCGAACCCGGGUCACCUGUGCCAAAGGUGAAGUCUUACACCAUUCGGCCACCCUGGCGUGUCCGGUGAUGUAGAUAAGUGUCAACGUGUAGUGUCGUGAAUGUCUCCCAGUGCCGCCCCCCCCUCCAACGCGAGGCGCUCAAGUGCCUUUUUUUUUAAGAUCACUAUAUAUGGCUCUGAUGUUGCCUCAUUGGAAAGGGGUUGCUCAGAACAUCACACAAACACGACAACUAAUUGGACUUUUAUUUGCCACAUGAACAGACUUCAGGACUGUAUUAGUAUUUUACUAUUAUUAUUGUUUUUUGUUUUGUUUUUGUUUCUUUUCUUCCUCUGACUGUAAAGGUUUCCGUUCGAUGCGGUAAAGUCAAUGUCGUGAGGAGAACCCGGAACCAACAUUAUGGCGUCCGUUGGCCCGGACGGAUUUUGUUGUCGUACACAAAACAAAUCGGGCUGAAUUCAGCUGCACGUUUGGACGCGGAACUUACAAUUUUUGGCAAAAAAGACUCAUAAAACCAUGGCUGUUUCUCUCACUUGACGCUGGAAUUGAUGUUGGGGAUCGAGGAGGUUUUGAGCGGACACGCAGCCGACAGACGCAAAGUUGUGGGACACGUGGACGGCUCUGCGCUACGAUGACGAGGACAACCUGCUUUUGGACAGCUUACAUGUUGGAUGACGAUGGUCUCCUUGUCGCUGCCUGGUGAAGUCGUCGGCCAGUGGGAAGAGAUUGCAGACCUAAGACAAAAUGUCAACUUGUGCUGCAAAUGUUUUUUGACAUGAGGUGAAACUCACCAGUGACGAAAAGGGUGUGAAAUUUGUUUUCUGGGACUGUCAAGUGCUCGCACAUCUGCAU